This 253-nucleotide ribosomal RNA is filed under the name uncultured bacterium. Its description in RNAcentral is "partial 16S ribosomal RNA". It matches the Rfam family "Bacterial small subunit ribosomal RNA", at positions 524 to 776 of the family's 1533-position model. The record is from RNAcentral.
UACGUAGGGUGCAAGCGUUGUCCGGAAUUAUUGGGCGUAAAGAGCUCGUAGGCGGUUUGUCGCGUCGAAUGUGAAAUCCCGGGGCUCAACCCCGGGUCUGCAUUCGAUACGGGCAGACUAGAGUUCGGUAGGGGAGUCUGGAAUUCCUGGUGUAGCGGUGAAAUGCGUAGAGAUGUGGAGGAACACCAGUGGCGAAGGCGACUUUUUGGCCUGUAACUGACGCUGAGGCGCGAAAGCGUGGGGAGCAAACAGG